Molecule: ribosomal RNA, 445 nt
Filed under: uncultured organism
Description: partial 16S ribosomal RNA
Rfam family: Bacterial small subunit ribosomal RNA
Source: RNAcentral
ACUCCUGCGGGAGGCAGCAGUGGGGAAUAUUGGACAAUGGGCGCAAGCCUGAUCCAGCCAUGCCGCGUGAGUGAUGAAGGCCCUAGGGUUGAAAAGCUCUUUCACCGGUGAAGAUAAUGACGGUAACCGGAGAAGAAGCCCCGGCUAACUUCGUGCCAGCAGCCGCGGUAAUACGAAGGGGGCUAGCGUUGUUCGGAUUUACUGGGCGUAAAGCGCACGUAGGCGGACUAUUAAGUCAGGGGUGAAAUCCCGGGGCUCAACCCCGGAACUGCCUUUGAUACUGGUAGUCUUGAGUUCGAGAGAGGUGAGUGGAAUUCCGAGUGUAGAGGUGAAAUUCGUAGAUAUUCGGAGGAACACCAGUGGCGAAGGCGGCUCACUGGCUCGAUACUGACGCUGAGGUGCGAAAGCGUGGGGAGCAAACAGGAUUAGAAAUCCUGGUAGUCCC